GGGGAAUUUUCCGCAAUGGGCGCAAGCCUGACGGAGCAACGCCGCGUGCAGGAGGACGCUUUUCGGAGUGUAAACUGCUUUUCUGUGGGACGAGAAUGGACGGUACCACAGGAAGAAGCCCCGGCUAACUACGUGCCAGCAGCCGCGGUAAUACGUAGGGGGCGAGCGUUGUCCGGAGUUACUGGGCGUAAAGGGCAUGCAGGCGGUCGGACGCGUUUUGUGUGACAGCGGGUGGCUUAACUACCCGAGUAUACAAGAGACGGUUUGACUUGAGGACUCGAGAGGGACACGGAAUUCCGGGUGGAGUGGUGAAAUGCGUAGAGAUCCGGAGGAACACCGAAGGCGAAGGCAGUGUCCUGGCGAGUAACUGACGCUGAGGUGCGAAAGCUAGGGGAGCGAAAGGGAUUAGAUACCCCUGUAGUC
Molecule: ribosomal RNA, 423 nt
Filed under: uncultured bacterium
Lineage: Bacteria
Description: bacterial SSU rRNA
Rfam family: Bacterial small subunit ribosomal RNA
Source: RNAcentral